AUUGAACGCUGGCGGAAUGCUUUACACAUGCAAGUCGAGCGGCAGCGCGGCCUUCGGGCUGGCGGCGAGCGGCGAACGGGUGAGUAAUGCAUCGGAACAUGCCCAGUCGUGGGGGAUAACACUUCGAAAGAAGUGCUAAUACCGCAUACGUCCUGAGGGGGAAAGCGGGGGAUCGCAAGACCUCGCGCGAUUGGAGUGGCCGAUGUCAGAUUAGCUAGUUGGUGGGUAAAGGCCUACCAAGGCGACGAUCUGUAGCUGGUCUGAGAGGAUGAUCAGCCACACUGGGACUGAGACACGGCCCAGACUCCUACGGGAGGCAGCAGUGGGGAAUUUUGGACAAUGGGGGCAACCCUGAUCCAGCCAUUCCGCGUGAGUGAAGAAGGCCUUCGGGUUGUAAAGCUCUUUCGGCAGGAACGAAACGGUGGGCUCUAACAUAGUCCGCUAAUGACGGUACCUGAAGAAGAAGCACCGGCUAACUACGUG
Molecule: ribosomal RNA, 483 nt
Filed under: uncultured bacterium
Lineage: Bacteria
Description: partial 16S ribosomal RNA
Rfam family: Bacterial small subunit ribosomal RNA
Source: RNAcentral